UUCUGCAAAUUUCGCCGGAUUCUGGAAAUUUUCCGGCCACCUCGACUGUUUUAGGUGAUUGACGGUCUUCCUUGGGUGAGCGGUUUUGGUGUGUAUUGUGUUGAAUUGAAGACGCAGCGGGAAUAUCGAGCGGGUAAUCCUACAGGUCAGGAGAAUCAGGACGGUGAUCGUGCGGGUUAGAGAAUUUGUUUUAGUUUACAGCAAUUGUAAUUGUGAGGUGAGUUAUGCUCAUUUGAGCCUUACAUUAUAAUUUGGUGAGAGUGUGCUGUAAUAAACAAAUUUGAGAUUUGGUUUAUGUAAUAUCGAGCGAUGUGAGGUGUGGUUGUUUUGAGAAAAAAUUCAGGUUGUAUUUAUGUGAGUUGUAUUAAUUCAUGUUUCGGAUUUGAAUUUGUUAUUCAAAAUUCGGGGCGUGACAGUUUGGUAUCAGAGCGUAAGGUACAUAUUUGGUGAUAAUCAGUACUCCCCGAGUGAUGGCCCGUCUGCAGCGGAUCCCCAUCAUAUACUCUUCGGUACUGGUAUAAUCAUUGGGUAUGUCUUAGUAUGGGGUCUAGACAGCGUGUAUGUCUGUAGGACGGUAGAGUUGUCUUCUAAGUUCGUAUUAGAAUAAGUUUAGUUUCCGCAGGUUGUAAUCUUCGAGGAAUAGAGACCUCUAGAUUUAACUCUGAUGAGUCGGUGAGAUUUGUUUUAUGGAAGUGAGGUCCUUUUGGAUGUUGAAGUGUUUGGUUGAAGGCAUGAUGUUGACCUAUGCACGUACCUAGUGUGGAUACGAGUAUGAAUUGUUAUAAAUUUUGUCUUCUUAAGUUGGACGUACAGAUGUUUGGAUGGGAUGUACGUAUCAAGGAUUAAAUAUCUUGUUUUGUAAUGAGAUGUCCUUGUGGAGUUUGUUAGUAGGGUUGAGGUUAGGGAAGAAAUUAUUGUGGUUACUUCUUCCUUGUGCUUGUAAGUUGUUAAGCAGGGUUUAAGGUGCGAGACAAGAAUUUUAUUUUGUGCUCGAGGGUUAGAGAUGAGAGACCAUUGUUUUGGGUUGUCGUUGAGUACUAUAAUUCCUUCAGAAUCAGGAUUGUUGGUAGAAUUGGAAUUAGUAGUAGUUUUGGUGAUUCGGAAUUUGAAUUGAGUUCGCGAGAUGUGUCUUAUAUACGUGGUUGAUGUUGCUUGCAUCAUUUGGAACGAUACGUUACGAUUCACAAGGAAAACUGGAUUUGAAAUUUAUUCAUUUGAACACCAUGGGUUGAUGACCUGACCGUGACUUGUGAAUAUAGUUUUGUUCAAGUGAAUGAAAUUGAAUUUUGUGGCCUUUGUGUGGUGAACUAGUUUUCUUAAGUUUUGGAUCAUAGUAUGGAGAUGGACUGCAGUGAAUUUGAAGUUGUUGUGUGUUUUAAGUUUAAGUAGGCGGGACACUUAAAGUUUUGCAAUGGAGUUGAUUUUGGUGUAAUUAAUUGGGAGAGUUAGAAUCAGUUCUUGUGAAUGAUGUUGGGUGAGAGUGUGUGCCUUUGGUGAUUGAUUUUAGGUGAUAUAGUUAAACGCAAUUUCGG
Molecule: long non-coding RNA, 1532 nt
Organism: Rosa rugosa (rugosa rose)
Lineage: Eukaryota; Viridiplantae; Streptophyta; Magnoliopsida; Rosales; Rosaceae
Exons: 3
Source: RefSeq, a predicted model, not a curated record